This 253-nucleotide ribosomal RNA is filed under the name uncultured bacterium. RNAcentral describes it as "partial 16S ribosomal RNA". It matches the Rfam family "Bacterial small subunit ribosomal RNA", at positions 524 to 776 of the family's 1533-position model. The record is from RNAcentral. RNAcentral also lists the same sequence under 1 other name.
UACGGAGGGGGCUAGCGUUGUUCGGAAUUACUGGGCGUAAAGCGUACGUAGGCGGCUUUGUAAGUUAGAGGUGAAAGCCCGGGGCUCAACCCCGGAAUUGCCUUUAAGACUGCUAGGCUUGAAUCAUGGAGAGGUGAGUGGAAUUCCGAGUGUAGAGGUGAAAUUCGUAGAUAUUCGGAAGAACACCAGUGGCGAAGGCGACUCACUGGACAUGUAUUGACGCUGAGGUACGAAAGCGUGGGGAGCAAACAGG